UUUAAAAGUGUUUCCACGCAUUUUAAAUAAUAAAAAUUAUAUUCCUAUAAUUCCAUUAUUUACAUUACAUUAUAUAUCUUUUAUUUUAGGUGCCGAUGAAAUAUACAAUCCCACUUGGUAUGCCUACGAAAUCAUGGAGUCAUUCUUACUGCAAGUAUAUACUUGUAAUGAAGGGUUAAACACCGAAACUCAAUCACAACAAAUAGAAGAAAUUACAGAUCAGACAGAGGAUGAUCCUCUGAUAAGAGACCGCACCAGUACGGCUACCACACCAUCCAGACCACCAUCUAGAUCACCAUCCAUACAGGCAGUUAAUAAACGUCGCCGCCUUGCUUCUGAUUCUGAAACGGCUGAAAAGCAAAUGGCCGUGGCUUUUGGUCAAUUAACGAAUGUUUUAAGUCAAAAACAGAAUGAAAAUAGACCUCCUUACAAAGAAGAUGAUUGCGAUCUAUAUGCUAAAUUAUUGGCUAUAAAGCUACGUGAACUGCCAAAUGAUGAACGAAAAAUUAUGAUGUACCAAAUAGAUGGGUUGUUUAUAAACAGAAUCAGUCAAAAAUCAAAUGAGCGUCAUACACCAUACCCUCAAUAUUAUUCUCGACCUUCCUCAAUUGCUGGUUCAUAUUCACGCCAUACACCAUCUCCUCAAGUCAUUCAGAGUCGGCCAACAUCAGUUAAUAGCGUUUAUUCUGAACCUAUACAUAACACUCAAAGUUUUUUUCCCUCUCCAUACACAGAAACCUCUCAUUCAGUGCCAAACACAACAGAACAUAUACCAACUCCAAUACCUCCAGCUCCAUCUACAUAUUCUACAUCAACAGCACCCCUGUCAUCUAUUCGUAUAAUAUCGGACCAAAUCCUCAACCCACCCCCGCGAGACACCAACAUUAUAAACUUAGCUUUAUUGAAUGCUUUCGAAGAUUUUGAGUCGUCAAAAUAAUUCUUAUUUAAGGUUAAAUAUAAAGUUAAAUAAUUAAGCUGUAAAAAAGUUUCCUAUGAAUCAAUUAAAACCUAAACAAAUGUAUAACAA
Molecule: long non-coding RNA, 1027 nt
Organism: Ostrinia nubilalis (European corn borer)
Lineage: Eukaryota; Metazoa; Arthropoda; Insecta; Lepidoptera; Crambidae
Exons: 2
Source: RefSeq, a predicted model, not a curated record